AUUGAACGCUGGCGGCAGGCCUAACACAUGCAAGUCGAGCGGAUGAAGGGAGCUUGCUCCUGGAUUCAGCGGCUGACGGGUGAGUAAUGCCUAGGAAUCUGCCUGGUAGUGGGGGAUAACGUCCGGAAACGGGCGCUAAUACCGCAUACGUCCUGAGGGAGAAAGUGGGGGAUCUUCGGACCUCACGCUAUCAGAUGAGCCUAGGUCGGAUUAGCUAGUUGGUGGGUAAAGGCCUACCAAGGCGACGAUCCGUAACUGGUCUGAGAGGAUGAUCAGUCACACUGGAACUGAGACACGGUCCAGACUCCUACGGGAGGCAGCAGUGGGGAAUAUUGGACAAUGGGCGAAAGCCUGAUCCAGCCAUGCCGCGUGUGUGAAGAAGGUCUUCGGAUUGUAAAGCACUUUAAGUUGGGAGGAAGGGCAGUAAGUUAAUACCUUGCUGUUUUGACGUUACCAACAGAAUAAGCACCGGCUAACUUCGUG
This 483-nucleotide ribosomal RNA is filed under the name uncultured bacterium. Its description in RNAcentral is "partial 16S ribosomal RNA". It matches the Rfam family "Bacterial small subunit ribosomal RNA", at positions 30 to 507 of the family's 1533-position model. The record is from RNAcentral.